CCCACCAUCUCCACUUCUUUCUCUAACCCCACCACUUCCAACUUCUUCUCCACCAUCUCCACCUUCUUCCCCACCACCUCCAUCUUCUUUAAAAUUAAGAAAGAGAAAGAAAGAGAGAGAGAGAGAGAGAGAGAGAGAGAGAAAAAGAGAGAGAGAAGAAGAAGAAGAAGGGAGAAAGCUCACCUGAGCUCGUCGCCGGAGCCACCACACGCCAGACCGUUGAGCUCGCCACCACCAUCAUCCGCAACCAAAGGUAACCGGAAACCGCCAUAUUUUUGAGUUUAGUUUCGGCCGUUUUAGUAAAUCGACCAUAACUUCUUAACCGUUGCGAAUCUCGUGCAUCCAAGCCCAUCAUCGUGUUCCUCUCGUCGAGACGAAGCCGUAGACACCAAGCACACCUCAAACGGAGCCCGGACGAAGCCGUACGCGCCUCCAGAAAACCGCCCUUCGCGCGCGCGUGAAACGCACGCGCCGCCGCCGGAAAUCGUCGCCACCGCAGCUCCGCCGCCGGACCACCGUCCGCCGCCGCAGCUCCGCCGUCGCCGCCGGCCAACUUUCCGAUUUGGAGUCCAUUUGAGCAGCUGGAGUUCAUAGAUAUCACUUAUUAUUGCUAAGGUGAGACAAACAAGUAUGUGAUAUUUGGACGGAUUUGGUGCUACUGGACUUUUCUUUCGGAUUUUAUUUGGGCAUGGGUGAGAGUUGUCGGGUUUAUGGGCUUUUAUAUUACGGGAUAUUGUUGGUGGCCCGUCGUCCUUAGUGUCAGGGAGACGGGUAUCACAUUGUUGUAUGAUGACGCGUCGGGGGUGACACGCUGUCCUCCAUAUAGGAGGUGACAGGUGUCACAAAAAUAUCCAAGCCUGAUAGAACCUGAAGAAAUGAAACCAAUCCAAAGAUCUACACUGA
Brassica napus (rape) is the source of this 903-nucleotide long non-coding RNA. RefSeq lists it as uncharacterized. The transcript has 3 exons. Lineage: Eukaryota; Viridiplantae; Streptophyta; Magnoliopsida; Brassicales; Brassicaceae. The record is from RefSeq and is a predicted model, not a curated record.